Molecule: ribosomal RNA, 253 nt
Filed under: uncultured bacterium
Lineage: Bacteria
Description: partial 16S ribosomal RNA
Rfam family: Bacterial small subunit ribosomal RNA
Source: RNAcentral
UACGAGGGGGGCGAGCGUUGUUCGGAAUUAUUGGGCGUAAAGGGUGCGUAGGCGGUUUGGUAAGUCUUGUGUGAAAUCUACAGGCUCAACUUGUAGUCUGCACGAGAAACUGCCGGGCUUGAGUAUGGGAGAGGUGAGUGGAAUUCCUGGUGUAGCGGUGAAAUGCGUAGAUAUCAGGAGGAACACCUGUGGCGAAAGCGGCUCACUGGACCAUAACUGACGCUGAUGCACGAAAGCGUGGGGAGCAAACAGG